UACGUAGGGUGCAAGCGUUGUCCGGAAUUAUUGGGCGUAAAGAGCUCGUAGGCGGUCUGUCGCGUCGGCUGUGAAAACUCGGGGCUCAACCCCGAGCCUGCAGUCGAUACGGGCAGACUUGAGUGCUGUAGGGGAGACUGGAAUUCCUGGUGUAGCGGUGAAAUGCGCAGAUAUCAGGAGGAACACCGGUGGCGAAGGCGGGUCUCUGGGCCGUAACUGACGCUGAGGAGCGAAAGCGUGGGGAGCGAACAGG
Molecule: ribosomal RNA, 253 nt
Filed under: uncultured bacterium
Lineage: Bacteria
Description: partial 16S ribosomal RNA
Rfam family: Bacterial small subunit ribosomal RNA
Source: RNAcentral